This 513-nucleotide ribosomal RNA is filed under the name uncultured bacterium. Its description in RNAcentral is "bacterial SSU rRNA". It matches the Rfam family "Bacterial small subunit ribosomal RNA", at positions 19 to 518 of the family's 1533-position model. The record is from RNAcentral.
CUGGCUCAGGAUGAACGCUAGCUACAGGCUUAACACAUGCAAGUCGAGGGGCAGCAUGUGGUUGCUUGCAACCAAUGAUGGCGACCGGCGCACGGGUGAGUAACGCGUAUCCAACCUUCCCCUUAGUAGAGGAUAGCCCGGCGAAAGUCGGAUUAAUACUCUAUGUUCUUCAAUGCGGACAUCUAAGUUGAAGCAAAGAUUUAUCGCUAAGGGAUGGGGAUGCGUCUGAUUAGGUUGCAGGCGGGGUAACGGCCCACCUGGCCUACGAUCAGUAGGGGUUCUGAGAGGAAGGUCCCCCACACUGGUACUGAGACACGGACCAGACUCCUACGGGAGGCAGCAGUGAGGAAUAUUGGUCAAUGGGCGCGAGCCUGAACCAGCCAAGUAGCGUGCAGGGAACCGACUGCCCUAUGGGUUGUAAAACUGCUUUUAUCAGGGAAUAAAGUGAGGCACGCGUGCCUUUUUGUAUGUACCUGAUGAAUAAGGACCGGCUAAUUCCGUGCCAGCCGCUGC